ACGAACGCUGGCGGCGUGCUUAACACAUGCCAGUCGAACGAUGAAGCCCAGCUUGCUGGGUGGAAGAGUGGCGAACGGGUGAGUAACACGUGAGUAACCUGCCCUGAACUCUGGGAUAAGCACUGGAAACGGUGUCUAAUACUGGAUACGACCUAUCACCGCAUGGUGUGUGGGUGGAAAGAUUUAUCGGUUCUGGAUGGACUCGCGGCCUAUCAGCUAGAUGGUGAGGUAAUGGCUCACCAUGGCGACGACGGGUAGCCGGCCUGAGAGGGUGACCGGCCACACUGGGACUGAGACACGGCCCAGACUCCUACGGGAGGCAGCAGUGGGGAAUAUUGCACAAUGGGCGCAAGCCUGAUGCAGCAACGCCGCGUGAGGGAUGACGGCCUUCGGGUUGUAAACCUCUUUUAGUAGGGAAGAAGCGAAAGUGACGGUACCUGCAGAAAAAGCACCGGCUAACUACGUG
RNAcentral lists this ribosomal RNA (466 nucleotides) under uncultured bacterium. RNAcentral describes it as "partial 16S ribosomal RNA". It matches the Rfam family "Bacterial small subunit ribosomal RNA", at positions 29 to 507 of the family's 1533-position model. The record is from RNAcentral.